RNAcentral lists this signal recognition particle RNA (280 nucleotides) under Saimiri boliviensis boliviensis (Bolivian squirrel monkey). RNAcentral's name for it is "Metazoan signal recognition particle RNA (ENSSBOG00000000361.1)". It matches the Rfam family "Metazoan signal recognition particle RNA". Rfam says of the family: The signal recognition particle (SRP) is a universally conserved ribonucleoprotein. It is involved in the co-translational targeting of proteins to membranes. The eukaryotic SRP consists of a 300-nucleotide 7S RNA and six proteins: SRPs 72, 68, 54, 19, 14, and 9. Lineage: Eukaryota; Metazoa; Chordata; Mammalia; Primates; Cebidae. The record is from RNAcentral.
GCCUGUAGUCCCAGUUACUUAGGAGGCCGAGGUGGGUGGGUUGCUUGAACUCAGGAGUUCUGGGUUGUAGGGCACUGUGCAGAUUGGAUGUCUGCAUUAAGUUCGACAUCAAUAUGGUGACCUUCUGGGAGCAGGGGGCUACCAGGUUACCUAAGGAGAGGUGAAUCAGCCCAGGUCAGAAAUGGAGUAGGUAAAUAUUCCCAGGUUGAUUAGUAGUGGGAUAGCACCUGUGUUUAGCCACUGCACCCCAGCCUGGGAAACGUAGCAAGACCCUGUCUCU